Molecule: RNA transcript, 1083 nt
Organism: Episyrphus balteatus (marmalade hoverfly)
Lineage: Eukaryota; Metazoa; Arthropoda; Insecta; Diptera; Syrphidae
Exons: 6
Source: RefSeq, a predicted model, not a curated record
UUUUAUUUUCAGAUCUAGUGUGCCAAAAAAAAACUCGUCAAAAUGAAAACUAUGUUUUGGAUAAUCAGCCUACCAACAGCCGGUUUGGUUGUCGGUUUUAUUACAGUUUUAUUGAGUUGUUAUAAUCUCAGUGAUCUAAUAUAUAAUUUGGAAAACUUCGAAAAACGACGAAUUAAAUUAACGUGGUUCAUAUUUUUCUCUUCAACUGAAUACAAUUUUAAAUGGCAAAUUGCUAUUUAUAUAAUACUUUUAGUUUCGGGUCUUUUUCUUAUAAUUGGAACCAUCAAGAAAUAUGACCUACUACUUUUACCAUGGCUGAUUAUAAUGGUCUUUUUCAUUUUAUAUUCAGUCCUUUGUGCCAUAUUUCUUUUGUUCCUAGCCCUAGGGUUUAUGUCCUUUUUUGAUAAUACUUUUCUAUUUGCCGCUUUUGGCUUUAUAUUUUUAAUAAGUCUAAGUAUUUAUACGUGGAUUGGAAUUUUAACAUUACAUUGCAAUAUUCAUAAGGAAAACGAAGCACCUACUGAAGCUGAUGUUACACUAUACCCACAUCCUAAUAAUAAUACUGUUGUUAAAUCUUCGAGUCAACAAAGAUUCCAUGUAUAAAAAAACCAAUGUCGAUUUAUUUUAUAAUAAUUUAAAUAUCAUUAAACAAAUUUCCAACAUAAAAUAUAUGUUUGUGCAAAAAUAAUAUGAAAGUGCCGAAAGUUACCAAAGCUAAUCACUGCGACUAAAAAGGAAAAUGGAUUCUUCUUUCAACGAAGUAGUACAGGCGACAAUAAAAAUUGGAGAAGUGAAAGAAACAAAAGGGUUUCAAUCGCAAUAUGGCUAUUAUAAAACGGGUAUGCUGCUUGGACCUUCCAACUGCUGGAUAUGUCAUUGGCUAUUUGGGAAUUCUUGGUGGAAUAUAUGAAUCAAUUGAGACACUCUUAGGAAUUGCUUUUUUCGAUGAUUACUUUGACUCAAUUGAGACCUACCAUGCAAUACAAGAAAGAAAGACCACUGUCCAUGUUAUCCUCUGUGUAAUGUUCGUUCUAUGUGUAAUUGAUUUGAUAUCAUCCAUCUUAUUGGUUCAAGGAAUUAAAA